UACGUAGGGUGCAAGCGUUGUCCGGAAUUAUUGGGCGUAAAGAGCUCGUAGGCGGUUUGUCGCGUCUGCUGUGAAAACUCGGGGCUUAACUCCGGGCCUGCAGUGGGUACGGGCAGACUAGAGUGCGGUAGGGGAGACUGGAAUUCCUGGUGUAGCGGUGAAAUGCGCAGAUAUCAGGAGGAACACCGGUGGCGAAGGCGGGUCUCUGGGCCGUAACUGACGCUGAGGAGCGAAAGCAUGGGUAGCAAACAGG
This 253-nucleotide ribosomal RNA is filed under the name uncultured bacterium. Its description in RNAcentral is "partial 16S ribosomal RNA". It matches the Rfam family "Bacterial small subunit ribosomal RNA", at positions 524 to 776 of the family's 1533-position model. The record is from RNAcentral.